GUCUCAAUUCUUAAACAACUAGUAUGUUGGCUUAGAAGCAGCCAUCAUUUAAAGAGUGCGUAAUAGCUCACUAGUCUAGUUUUGGGGCACCGACAGUAUAACGGGGCUAAGCUAAAUACCGAAUUUUUGGAUCAUAAUUCACAGGCCGUGCAAUUAUGGUGGUAGGCGAGUGUUAUAUUGGCGAUGAAGCUUGAGCGUGAGUACAAGUGGAGCCAACAUAAGUAAGAAUGCCGGCGUAAGUAACGUAUGAAAGUGAGAAUCUUUCUAGCCGAUUGACUAAGGUUUCCAGGGCAAGGGUCAUCCUCCUUGGGUUAGUCGGACCUAAGACGAGGCCGAAAGGCGUAGUCGAUGGAUAGCGAGUUAAUAUUCUUGCACUCGCUUGAUUGGCGACGGGGUGACAGAAGAGGUUAAUAUGGGCGGGUUAUUGGAUUCCCGUUUAAGUUUCAAGUGGCCGAUAUAGGCAAAUCCGUAUCGGAAUACCAUGAGUUACGAAUACGAGCGAAAGCUACGGCAAUUAGCGAAGCCAUAAACAUCAUAUUCUCAAGAAAAGCCUCUAGCUUAACAAUCAAGCAUCCGUACCGAGAACGAACACACGUGGUCAAGGAGAAAAUCCUAAGGCUAUCGAGAUAACUACAGUUAAGGAACUCUGCAAAAUAGCCCUGUAACUUCGGGAGAAAGGGUGCCUAUGCAAAUAGGUCACAGUAAAGAAUGAGGGGGGACUGUUUAACAAAAACAUAGCUAUAUGCAAAAUCGAAAGAUAACGUAUAUGUGGCGACACCUGCCCAGUGCCAGAAG
RNAcentral lists this ribosomal RNA (795 nucleotides) under uncultured Mycoplasma sp. RNAcentral's name for it is "partial 23S ribosomal RNA". It matches the Rfam family "Bacterial large subunit ribosomal RNA", at positions 1075 to 1875 of the family's 2925-position model. The record is from RNAcentral. Lineage: Bacteria; Bacillati; Mycoplasmatota; Mollicutes; Mycoplasmatales; Mycoplasmataceae.